UGGCGAACGGGUGAGUAACGCGUGAGGAACCUGCCUCAAAGAGGGGGACAACAGUUGGAAACGACUGCUAAUACCGCAUAAGCCCACAGGUCGGCAUCGACCAGGGGGAAAAGGAGCAAUCCGCUUUGAGAUGGCCUCGCGUCCGAUUAGCUAGUUGGUGAGGUAACGGCCCACCAAGGCGACGAUCGGUAGCCGGACUGAGAGGUUGAACGGCCACAUUGGGACUGAGACACGGCCCAG
This 240-nucleotide ribosomal RNA is filed under the name uncultured bacterium. Its description in RNAcentral is "partial 16S ribosomal RNA". It matches the Rfam family "Bacterial small subunit ribosomal RNA", at positions 96 to 334 of the family's 1533-position model. The record is from RNAcentral.